Molecule: transfer RNA, 85 nt
Filed under: Devosia geojensis
Lineage: Bacteria; Pseudomonadati; Pseudomonadota; Alphaproteobacteria; Hyphomicrobiales; Devosiaceae
Also listed under: 3 other names
Description: tRNA-Leu
Rfam family: tRNA
About the family: Transfer RNA (tRNA) molecules are approximately 80 nucleotides in length.
Source: RNAcentral
GCCCAGGUGGCGGAAUUGGUAGACGCGCACGGUUCAGGUCCGUGUACCGCAAGGUGUGGAAGUUCGAGUCUUCUCCUGGGCACCA